RNAcentral lists this long non-coding RNA (261 nucleotides) under Mytilus galloprovincialis (Mediterranean mussel). The record is from RNAcentral. Lineage: Eukaryota; Metazoa; Mollusca; Bivalvia; Mytilida; Mytilidae.
UCCUUAUUGGGUAAAUGCAAAGUAUAACACACAAGUAGAAAUUUAAUGAGAUUCCAAUCCAAUAUGAUUUUAUAAUUUACAUAGGAUAUCAAUUUUUACUGCUAGUAAUUAUGUGUUUUUUGGAAAUAUAGCUGCAUUAUAUAUCCAACACAAGUAUGAUUUUAUUCAAGCAGUUGUUCAAGAGACAAUACAAUGGCUUAAUAUUUAUGAUACUGAAGUUUUCUUUCUUUUUGAUUGUCUAAUAGAUGUGUAGUUUGUAAU